Etheostoma cragini (Arkansas darter) is the source of this 560-nucleotide long non-coding RNA. RefSeq lists it as uncharacterized. The transcript is spliced from 3 exons. Lineage: Eukaryota; Metazoa; Chordata; Actinopteri; Perciformes; Percidae. The record is from RefSeq and is a predicted model, not a curated record.
AAGGACAAAUCCGGUGCAAAAUGGACCUUGGGGUUAACAACACAUGUGUACCAAGUCGGCUGUUUGCUGGGAUAUGUUUUCAUAAUCUAAUGUGAGCAGUUUUAGCACAAACCGCUAAUUACCUUAUAAUGCUAGUCAUUGGGGCAAGUAAAAAGAAAUCACUAUUUCCAUACCACUAACAAGGCUCAAAAUAGCAUUACACUUCUACGGUGGCAUAAUGAGGGUCCCUACAUGUAAACCAAAGCAUUGAGAACUUUGUAAUUGUACAGACAGUUUAUUAAAAAGAUACUUUAUAAAGACCGUUUGCCUACAGGCAGGCACCAUCCUGGGAAAAUAGACACAACCAGUCAAACAACGAACGGCGUGUAACCAGUAACCAGUAACAUUGCUCAAGCGCAGUGUUACUAGCGUUAUAAGCUAAGCAACGGUUUGCAAUAAAACUGGUCAAAUUUGAUUAGCAUGAAAACAUAGCCCAGAGAACGUUUAAAUAAGUACAAAUUUGUUAUUAACCCCUAGGUUCAUUUUGUGCUGGAUUUGUCCUUUAAGUACAUGUUGAUGCC